GGGUGUAGCUCAGUGGUAGAGUACUGGCCUAAAAGUAGAGAAGUUCUGGAUUCAAUCCCCAGUACCACA
Molecule: transfer RNA, 69 nt
Filed under: Marmota monax (woodchuck)
Lineage: Eukaryota; Metazoa; Chordata; Mammalia; Rodentia; Sciuridae
Description: tRNA.Phe
Source: RNAcentral